CGGGGCGAUACGUUCUAAGUGUAGCGUCUGGCGAUGACUCUCCUUCGGGUGGGGAUGUAGUGGCGAACGGAGUGAGUAACACGUGGGCCAUCUUACCUGCACUCUGGGACAAGCCCUGGAAACGGGGUCUAAUACCGGAUACUGAACCGCUUGGGCAUCCAGGCGGUUCGAAAGCUCCGGCGGUGCAGGAUGAGCCCGCGGCCUAUCAGCUUGUUGGUGAGGUAACGGCUCACCAAGGCGACGACGGGUAGCCGGCCUGAGAGGGCGACCGGCCACACUGGGACUGAGACACGGCCCAGACUCCUACGGGAGGCAGCAGUGGGGAAUAUUGCACAAUGGGCGAAAGCCUGAUGCAGCGACGCCGCGUGAGGGAUGACGGCCUUCGGGUUGUAAACCUCUUUCAGCAGGGAAGAAGCGAAAGUGACGGUACCUGCAGAAGAAGCGCCGGCUAACUACGUGCCAGCAGCCGCGGUAAUACGUAGGGCGCGAGCGUUGUCCGGAAUUAUUGGGCGUAAAGAGCUCGUAGGCGGCUUGUCACGUCGGUUGUGAAAGCCCGGGGCUUAACCCCGGGUCUGCAGUCGAUACGGGCAGGCUAGAGUUCGGUAGGGGAGAUCGGAAUUCCUGGUGUAGCGGUGAAAUGCGCAGAUAUCAGGAGGAACACCGGUGGCGAAGGCGGAUCUCUGGGCCGAUACUGACGCUGAGGAGCGAAAGCGUGGGGAGCGAACAGGAUUAGAUACCCUGGUAGUCCACGCCGUAAACGGUGGGCACUAGGUGUGGGCGACAUUCCACGUCGUCCGUGC
Molecule: ribosomal RNA, 800 nt
Filed under: Streptomyces longispororuber
Lineage: Bacteria; Bacillati; Actinomycetota; Actinomycetes; Kitasatosporales; Streptomycetaceae
Description: bacterial SSU rRNA
Rfam family: Bacterial small subunit ribosomal RNA
Source: RNAcentral